GCGUGAGCGAUGAAGGCCUUAGGGUUGUAAAGCUCUUUCAGCUGGGAAGAUAAUGACGGUACCAGCAGAAGAAGCCCCGGCUAACUCCGUGCCAGCAGCCGCGGUAAUACGGAGGGGGCUAGCGUUGUUCGGAAUUACUGGGCGUAAAGCGCGCGUAGGCGGAUAGUUAAGUCGGGGGUGAAAUCCCGGGGCUCAACCCCGGAACUGCCUUCGAUACUGGCUGUCUAGAGGUCGAGAGAGGUGAGUGGAAUGGCGAGUGUAGAGGUGAAAUUCGU
Molecule: ribosomal RNA, 275 nt
Filed under: uncultured bacterium
Lineage: Bacteria
Description: partial 16S ribosomal RNA
Rfam family: Bacterial small subunit ribosomal RNA
Source: RNAcentral